This 427-nucleotide ribosomal RNA is filed under the name uncultured bacterium. Its description in RNAcentral is "partial 16S ribosomal RNA". It matches the Rfam family "Bacterial small subunit ribosomal RNA", at positions 354 to 796 of the family's 1533-position model. The record is from RNAcentral.
GUGGGGAAUAUUGGGCAAUGGGGGCAACCCUGACCCAGCGACGCCGCGUGGGGGAAGACGGCCUUCGGGUUGUAAACCUCUUUUGUACGGGAAGAAGGAAGUGACGGUACUGUACGAAUAAGUCCCGGCUAACUACGUGCCAGCAGCCGCGGUAAUACGUAGGGGACGAGCGUUGUCCGGAAUUACUGGGUGUAAAGGGCGCGCAGGCUGUGCUGCAAGUCAGCUGUUAAAUGUCUGGGCUUAACCCGGGCAUGCGGUUGAGACUGCGGUGCUGGAGUGCUGUAGAGGCAAGUGGAAUUCCCAGUGUAGCGGUGAAAUGCGUAGAUAUUGGGAAGAACACCGGUGGCGAAGGCGACUUGCUGGGCAGCAACUGACGCUGAGGCGCGAAAGCCAGGGGAGCAAACGGGAUUAGAAACCCUAGUAGUCC